Molecule: ribosomal RNA, 253 nt
Filed under: uncultured bacterium
Lineage: Bacteria
Description: partial 16S ribosomal RNA
Rfam family: Bacterial small subunit ribosomal RNA
Source: RNAcentral
GACAUAGGUCGCAAACGUUAUCCGGAAUUACUGGGCGUAAAGGGCUCGUAGGCGGCCAACUAAGUCAGACGUGAAAUCCCUCGGCUUAACCGGGGAACUGCAUCUGAUACUGGAUGGCUUGAGUUCGGGAGAGGGAUGCGGAAUUCCAGGUGUAGCGGUGAAAUGCGUAGAUAUCUGGAGGAACACCGGUGGCGAAGGCGGCAUCCUGGACCGGCACUGACGCUGAGGAGCGAAAGCCAGGGGAGCAAACGGG